This is a long non-coding RNA of Ipomoea triloba (trilobed morning glory), 676 nucleotides long. RefSeq lists it as uncharacterized. The transcript has 2 exons. Lineage: Eukaryota; Viridiplantae; Streptophyta; Magnoliopsida; Solanales; Convolvulaceae. The record is from RefSeq and is a predicted model, not a curated record.
UUCUCUCAUUUCUACUUCGAAUGUUCCUCUCUCUUAUGGCCCAUCAAAUUCGAUCUCACCCUGCCGACCUGCUAUAUAGGGAUUUUGAAGAAACCUAAACGCAGUGCACAUCUUCUUCCCAGAUGCAAACAUGGACGUUAACCGUAAAUCGAUUAGGAAUCAGGUGGAUCUUCAUUAAAGCUAGCUAAGCACAUCUUCACUACAGAGGUCGGAGGAGAUUCCAACCUAGUUUUCUCUCCUCUCUCUAUUAACAGUUUGUGGAUCGACCUGACUCUGCCGUUAAAGUCUUCAUUUAAGCAUGUCGUGGACAGUGUUUACAAGGCCGCAUAUGAAUUAGUUGAUUUUCAACACAAGAAAUUGAAGUUUGAUAGAUGUUGAUUGCCCAAGCAAGUGAAGUGGCUGAUGAAGUGAAUUUGUGGGUUGAGAAAUAAACUAAAGAUUUUAUCAACCACAUACUUCUUGCCAGUGCAGUUAACAAUCCAACAAGGCUCAUUUUUGCAAGUGCAUUGUAUUUUAAUGGAGCUUGGACUCAAGAGUUUGAUGCAUGGAUGGUGAAGGAUCACGAGUUCCACCUCCUUAAUGGAAGAUCUAUACAUUUUGUGUAUCUCUUGAGUAUUUGUAUGUAAUGAGAGAUUUUGCCUUCUAAUGAAAUGGUUGGUUGAAGAGUUUUGGCACA